This 253-nucleotide ribosomal RNA is filed under the name uncultured bacterium. RNAcentral describes it as "partial 16S ribosomal RNA". It matches the Rfam family "Bacterial small subunit ribosomal RNA", at positions 524 to 776 of the family's 1533-position model. The record is from RNAcentral.
UACGAAGGGGGCUAGCGUUGUUCGGAAUCACUGGGCGUAAAGGGUGCGUAGGCGGGUCUUUAAGUCAGGGGUGAAAUCCUGGAGCUCAACUCCAGAACUGCCUUUGAUACUGAGGAUCUUGAGUAUGGGAGAGGUGAGUGGAACUGCGAGUGUAGAGGUGAAAUUCGUAGAUAUUCGCAAGAACACCAGUGGCGAAGGCGGCUCACUGGCCCAUUACUGACGCUGAGGCACGAAAGCGUGGGGAGCAAACAGG